GACGAACGCUGGCGGCGUGCUUAACACAUGCGAGUCGAACGGUGAAGGGACUGGUUUUUGCUGGUUCUGGAUGAGUGGCGAACGGGUGAGUAACACGUGAGUAACCUGCCCCCUUCUUCUGGAUAACCGCAUGAAAGUGUGGCUAAUACGGGAUAUUCUGCGCCUGCUGCAUGGUGGGUGUGGGAAAGAUAUUGUUUCGGUGGGGGAUGGGCUCGCGGCCUAUCAGCUUGUUGGUGGGGUGAUGGCCUACCAAGGCGGUGACGGGUAGCCGGCCUGAGAGGGUGGACGGUCACACUGGGACUGAGACACGGCCCAGACUCCUACGGGAGGCAGCAGUGGGGAAUAUUGCACAAUGGGCGCAAGCCUGAUGCAGCGACGCCGCGUGAGGGAUGGAGGCCUUCGGGUUGUAAACCUCUUUCGCCAGUGAAGCAGGCCUGUCCCUUUUGUGGGUGGGUUGACGGUAGCUGGAUAAGAAGCGCCGGCUAACUACGUG
Molecule: ribosomal RNA, 493 nt
Filed under: uncultured bacterium
Lineage: Bacteria
Description: partial 16S ribosomal RNA
Rfam family: Bacterial small subunit ribosomal RNA
Source: RNAcentral